ACGGCGAGUGAAGAGGGAAAAGCCCAAAUUUGUAAUCUGGCUCUUUUAGAGUCCGAGUUGUAAUUUUGAGAACUGUUUUCCGUGCUGGACCAUGUACAAGUCUGUUGAAAAACAGCAUCAUUGAGGGUGAAAAUCCCGUACAUGAUAUGGACUACCAGUGCAAUGUGAUACAGUCUCUAAGAGUCGAGUUGUUUGGGAAUGCAGCUCAAAGUGGGUGGUAAAUUCCAUCUAAGGCUAAAUAUAGGUGAGAGACCGAUAGCAAACAAGUACCGUGAGGGAAAGAUGAAAAGAACUUUGGAAAGAGAGUUAACAGUACGUGAAAUUGUUAAAAGGGAAACAUUUGAAGUUAGACUUGUUAUUGUUGGUUCAGCUUUCUUUUUUGAAGGUGUAUUCCAAUGGUUAACAGACCAGCAUCAAUUUUUGGGUGUUAGAUAAGGGUCUUGAGAAUGUAGCAAUUUCGGUUGUGUUAUAGCUCUUGACUUUGAUAUAAUGCUUAGGAUUGAGGAACGCAGUGAGCUUUUUAUUAAGUGGAUGCCUUUGGGGAUCUUCUCACUA
This 555-nucleotide ribosomal RNA is filed under the name Pucciniastrum agrimoniae. Its description in RNAcentral is "eukaryotic LSU rRNA". It matches the Rfam family "Eukaryotic large subunit ribosomal RNA", at positions 86 to 646 of the family's 3401-position model. Lineage: Eukaryota; Fungi; Basidiomycota; Pucciniomycetes; Pucciniales; Pucciniastraceae. The record is from RNAcentral.